AACUAAACCUUAUUGUAGCGGCUAUCCUUUUUGGUGCAGCGCCAAACAACCAGCAAUAACAUCCACAAAAAGAUAGAAGCGGAAAGAAGGGCUACCC
Molecule: small RNA, 97 nt
Filed under: Pedobacter zeae
Lineage: Bacteria; Pseudomonadati; Bacteroidota; Sphingobacteriia; Sphingobacteriales; Sphingobacteriaceae
Description: Flavo-1 RNA
Rfam family: Flavo-1 RNA
Source: RNAcentral